GUUUUAAGUAACAUUUGUUUUCAGUCUUUCAACAACUUAAUCGCCGUAAGCGUCAAAUGUCGGUCGCACUUACUUUUGACCAAAACACGCCACUGGACUUUUGUUGUUAAUUACUAUUAUACUGCGACGAUUUCGUGGGGAAGACUAGCCAAAUCAUAAAUAUUGUAGGGCGCGAGUAAAAAUACUCACUCCGUUGGUACGAAUACUGAAAUGGAGUGCAUCGAAUCCGACGAAUAAUAUCGGUAAACAAUGGGCGCCGCCUAUACGACUCACGGAUAUAAGGUUCAGUCGCCUAUUAUACACGAAAUCACU
Non-coding RNA from Cinara cedri, 312 nucleotides. Lineage: Eukaryota; Metazoa; Arthropoda; Insecta; Hemiptera; Aphididae. The record is from the annotation of a GenBank genome assembly.